This 25-nucleotide non-coding RNA is filed under the name Mus musculus (house mouse). Lineage: Eukaryota; Metazoa; Chordata; Mammalia; Rodentia; Muridae. The record is from RNAcentral.
UGAGGUCUUGGAAGUUCUUAUCAUA